GCUGGCUGCGUGCUUAACACAUGCAAGUCGAACGCUGAAGCCGACAGCUUGCUGUUGGUGGAUGAGUGGCGAACGGGUGAGUAACACGUGAGUAACCUGCCCCUGAUUUCGGGAUAAGCCUGGGAAACUGGGUCUAAUACCGGAUACGACCACCUGACGCAUGUUGGGUGGUGGAAAGUUUUUCGAUCGGGGAUGGGCUCGCGGCCUAUCAGCUUGUUGGUGGGGUAAUGGCCUACCAAGGCGACGACGGGUAGCCGGCCUGAGAGGGCGACCGGCCACACUGGGACUGAGACACGGCCCAGACUCCUACGGGAGGCAGCAGUGGGGAAUAUUGCACAAUGGGGGAAACCCUGAUGCAGCGACGCAGCGUGCGGGAUGACGGCCUUCGGGUUGUAAACCGCUUUCAGCAGGGAAGAAGCGAAAGUGACGGUACCUGCAGAAGAAGUACCGGCUAACUACGUGCCAGCAGCCGCGGUAAUACGUAGGGUACGAGCGUUGUCCGGAAUUAUUGGGCGUAAAGAGCUCGUAGGUGGUUGGUCACGUCUGCUGUGGAAACGCAACGCUUAACGUUGCGCGUGCAGUGGGUACGGGCUGACUAGAGUGCAGUAGGGGAGUCUGGAAUUCCUGGUGUAGCGGUGAAAUGCGCAGAUAUCAGGAGGAACACCGGUGGCGAAAGCGGGACUCUGGGGCUGUAACUGACAC
Molecule: ribosomal RNA, 702 nt
Filed under: Brevibacterium sp. GN0406-11.4.2
Lineage: Bacteria; Bacillati; Actinomycetota; Actinomycetes; Micrococcales; Brevibacteriaceae
Description: bacterial SSU rRNA
Rfam family: Bacterial small subunit ribosomal RNA
Source: RNAcentral